Molecule: ribosomal RNA, 230 nt
Filed under: uncultured Actinomycetes bacterium
Lineage: Bacteria; Bacillati; Actinomycetota; Actinomycetes
Description: uncultured actinobacterium partial 16S ribosomal RNA
Rfam family: Bacterial small subunit ribosomal RNA
Source: RNAcentral
CGGGUGAGUAACACGUGAGCAACGUGCCCAAGACUCUGGAAUAACUUCGGGAAACCGGAGCUAAUACUGGAUACGAGACGUAAAGGCAUCUUUAGCGUCUGGAAAGAAUUUCGGUCUUGGAUCGGCUCACGGCCUAUCAGCUUGUUGGUGAGGUAAUGGCUCACCAAGGCGACGACGGGUAGCCGGCCUGAGAGGGUGACCGGCCACACUGGGACUGAGACACGGCCCAG